CUUCCUCCACAAUUUUAAGGGCUGAUGUUUUGUUUCAGACACAAGGGCUCCUCUUGGUUGCUUUCUUGUCUUGGGAUACCUUACACCCACCUCUGACACACACGGAGGUUGGAAACUGUGAUAUGAAGCUGAGGAUUCUGAGCACAGGAGCCCCUCUAUGCCACUUGGAUGUCAUUAAAAGUGCUUUUCUGAUUACUACAACAGCUUGGAAACAAACCUCUCCAUCGCCCUCCAAUCCAGACUCUAGAUGGCAGCCUGAAUAAUAGUUUAGAAGUUCACAUUUGCCCAUCUCACUGUUACGCUUAAAAGUGUUCAUGGUCUCUCUUCAACUUGGAUGCAGUUCAGAGUCCUUCACGUCACAAUCAAGACUUUGUACGACACACUGCUAUAUUUAACAUGGAUAACCAACAAGGACCUACUGGAUAGCAUAUGAAACUCUGCUCAAUGUUAUGUGCCAGCCUGGAUGGGAGGGGAGUUUUGGGGGAGAAGGGACACAUGUAUAUGUGUGGCUGAGUCCCUUCACUGUUCACCUGAAACUAUCAUAACUGUUAAUUGGCUAUACUCCAACAGAAGAUAAAAAGUUCAAAAAAAUAAGGGAAAAGAAGAAAUUAAA
RNAcentral lists this long non-coding RNA (613 nucleotides) under Capra hircus (goat). Its description in RNAcentral is "lncRNA (ENSCHIG00000001893.1)". The record is from RNAcentral. Lineage: Eukaryota; Metazoa; Chordata; Mammalia; Artiodactyla; Bovidae.